This 464-nucleotide ribosomal RNA is filed under the name uncultured bacterium. RNAcentral describes it as "bacterial SSU rRNA". It matches the Rfam family "Bacterial small subunit ribosomal RNA", at positions 346 to 793 of the family's 1533-position model. The record is from RNAcentral.
AGGCAGCAGUAGGGAAUUUUUCGCAAUGGAGGAAACUCUGACGGAGCAAUACCGCGUGUGGGAAGAAGAUUUUCGGAUUGUAAAACCACUGUUGUAAGGGAAGAACGUUAUUAGUAGGAAAAUGGCCUAAUAAGUGACGGUACCUUACCAGAAAAGGGACGGCUAACUACGUGCCAGCAGCCGCGGUAAUACGUAGGUCCCGAGCGUUAUCCGGAAUUAUUGGGCGUAAAAGGGCACGUAGGCGGACAAAUAAGUUUGAUGUCAAAAUAUGAUGGCUCAAACCAUCAAAGAGGCGUUGAAAAACUGUUUAUCUAGAAUCUCGGAGAGGUAAGUGGAAUUCCAUGUGUAGCGGUGGAAUGCGUAGAUAUAUGGAGGAACACCAAUGGCGAAGGCAGCUUACUGGACGAAGAUUGACGCUGAGGUGCGAAAGCGUGGGUAGCAAACAGGAUUAGAUACCCUGGUAG